GUGGGAUACUCAAGCAAGGUCUAGCGUGGCAGUCUCUUACUGCUGCCUGCGAAAGAAAAUGUAGAACUCUCUGUUCCUUCUUCAGUACCAUGUCUGCCUGCAUACCACUGGGUUUCCUGUCAUAACAAUAAUGGUCUAAGCCAGCCCCAGACUGAGGCUGUGUUGAGCAGACACAAGAGACUCCAGUGGCGUUAUUGAUGCCAGCCUGCCAGUCUACUCUGGGCUGUGAGAAGAUCAACACGGUUGGGCUUACAUGCCUCGGGUCGCAGAAGCGGGAUCCAUGCAUCUUUCUCUCUUUCAUUUCUAGCAUGGAAAUAAGUCCGUUUUCCUGUUAGUUUGACACAGCCAAGUCAAGGUUAUUUCAUGAAUUGUGACAAGGAGCUGUGACACCUAUAAAAUCUUCCCCACUUGCUUUGCCAACACAGAGGGAGGGACUGUCAACAGUCCAUAGGCAAAUCGUGGUGAGUGCUUUCAAGUGGGCACAGCUGACCUCAUGAAGAUGGUGACAGUGUCGUCAGCGGAUAGUACCUUGCGACAGAGUGUAUCUCUCAGCUGAGGGGAAACUACCACAAUAGCUGAGCAAUAGGUGGGCAUCAUGUGAUUGGAUGAAGAGGUCUCCAGUAAAAUAAUGUAAUUUUAGAAAACUUCCAGAGAAGCCCUGUUGAUCGCCCAUCACAUACACUUGAGGUAGCCAAGCCUAUCCACGAUGUGAACUAUAAAGCACAGUCUGAAUUUUGAUCACAUCAUCCUUAUAAAGCACGUAAGUAAGCAUGAGUUGUUUAUUUUUCCUGCGCGGCAGAAUCACUGGGACCAAGAGAGAGGGGUCCUGGUGGGUUCAUCAUGCUAUGUCUUUCUCUCUAGGUGGGCUGCUCAGUUUAUGCUCCAUUGACACCUUGAUCCCACAUUUCUUUGUUGUAGGUGUCUUCAAUACAGCGAAGGCUGAAAGCAUCCCUGGCCUCUACCCAUUGGACAGUAGCUCUACUCCCAGAUAGGACAACCGAAAAUAUCUCCCAACUUCCCUGGGGGAACAUUGCGUUGGCUGGGAACGACUGAUCUAAAAUGAUUGAUAUGAUCAACCUACUCAAAUCAUGAAGUUUAAAAUCUAACAGUGUCAUGUUUCAGUUGUACUGUGGAGAUUGCUUAUUUGUUAACUACCAUGAGGUUUCAAACAAAGUGUCCCUGAGCUUUAAAACCAAUACAUUUCCUACUAUGCUACACCUGGUGUGGUCACCAUAGCUCACUAGAGAAGCAGAAGCAAGAGGAGAGAAGAUAGACAGAGGGUGCCUAGAGAGAUGGCUGUCAGGGGAAAUGAUUUUAGAAAUUGUCUCAUGCCAUGAGGUACUAUAUCCAGGGAAGACUGAAGUCCUGAGAACCAUGGCUAGUGUAGUGGGCGGGGUCACUAAGUCUCAGAAUCUGAAGACACUAUGCCCUAGAUAGUUUUAUGUCAACUUGACACAAGCUGGAGUCAUCUGAAAGGAGGGAAGCUAAAAAGGACAAUUCCCCGAUAAGAUCUAGCUGUAAGGCAUUUUCUUAAUUAGUGAAUUACCAGGCAGCAUCUAGCCCAUGGUGGGUGGUACCACUCCUGGGCUGGUGGUCCUGGGCUUUACGAGAAAGCAGGCUGAGCAAAGCCAAGACAGCAAGCCGGUAAGCUGCGACCUUCCAUGCCUCUGCAGCACCACCUGCCUGGAAGUCUCUGCCUUGUUUGAGUUCCUGUCCUGACUUCCUUUGAUGAUAAACAUCAAUAUGCAGUUGUAAGCUGAAUAAACUAGUUUCCCUCAA
Long non-coding RNA from Meriones unguiculatus (Mongolian gerbil), 1779 nucleotides. RefSeq lists it as uncharacterized. NCBI's taxonomy places the organism in Eukaryota, Metazoa, Chordata, Mammalia, Rodentia, Muridae. The record is from RefSeq and is a predicted model, not a curated record. The transcript has 5 exons.